AAAAUCCGUCAUACUGCCUGGGAACUACGGGGAACGCUCUAAAACUCGAGGGACUUGGCGGUGCACUAAUCCCCCCAGGGGAACCUGGCUCUUAAUUCGAUGAUCCGCGAACCUCUUACCUUUUCUAGCUUUGUUUAUCUUUGCAAAAAGUAAACGAAAAUCAGCUCGCAUACCGCCGUUUCGUAGCCUGUAUCGUGAGAGGACAUAAACAGGCGUCCUAGUAGCACCCAUACAGCUAAAUUAAGUGUUUCUCUAAUAAUUCAGGUAAACGUGCGGCCUAUGAAAAGGGGAAGCUGGGUUACAAUUGGGGUUUGUAAUGGCGUGACUACCCUAAAGGGUAAGACAAAAGAGGACUUGGAAGUAAUGGCCUUGGGCAAUGAGGCCGUGAAUGUUGCUCUAGUGUGUGU
This 407-nucleotide ribosomal RNA is filed under the name Lottia lindbergi. RNAcentral describes it as "partial 12S ribosomal RNA". It matches the Rfam family "Bacterial small subunit ribosomal RNA", at positions 853 to 1384 of the family's 1533-position model. Lineage: Eukaryota; Metazoa; Mollusca; Gastropoda; Lottiidae. The record is from RNAcentral.